UACGGGGGGGGCUAGCGUUGUUCGGAAUUACUGGGCGUAAAGGGCGCGUAGGCGGCCUACUAAGUCGGACGUGAAAUCCCUCGGCUCAACCGGGGAACUGCGUCCGAUACUGGUGGGCUCGAAUCCGGGAGAGGGAUGUGGAAUUCCAGGUGUAGCGGUGAAAUGCGUAGAUAUCUGGAGGAACACCCGUGGCGAAGGCGGCUCUCUGGAACGCAACUGACGCUGAGACGCGAAAAGCGUGGGGAGCAAACAGG
This 254-nucleotide ribosomal RNA is filed under the name uncultured bacterium. RNAcentral describes it as "partial 16S ribosomal RNA". It matches the Rfam family "Bacterial small subunit ribosomal RNA", at positions 524 to 776 of the family's 1533-position model. The record is from RNAcentral.